AAUCCUACCCAGAUCAGCAUUCACCAUCUUAGAUCGAGGCAGUACGUACCCUUUCUUCUUCUCAGAAGGCUUAUCAAAUGACCCGUAAAUCGUAUCCAGCUUCUCGUAAGCCGAUUUGGUCCAAAUAAUGAACCUUCCAAGGUGACCACCAGGUGCCAGUUUCAACAGAUUAAGCCUCUCCACGUUGGCAACCUCCACUCCAGGAAUGUUACGGAAGGCUUUAACAAGCUUAGCUCCCUCAGUUCCGUAAACAAUCAAAGGACCUUUACGGGAAAUGUACCUCCGAUUCCUCAUUUUUCCUUUUCCGGGUCGGAUUCCUUGGCUGUCCUUAGCCUUUUCAACAUCAGGAUAUGCUCCGAUCUGUUUCAAAACCUUGAUUGCACCCGAGGUUUUCUCAACGCUCUCAACAGCGUCAGAAAUGACCAGCGGCAUCUCCGGUACAGCCUCAAUGCGGUGGCCACGUGCCAUGACGAGGGAAGGAACAGCGGAGGCGGCGAUGGCAGAAGCAACGGCGUAACGCUUCUGGUUAACGUUGAUUUUCCGGUGCCAGCGGCGCCAGAUCUUGGUAGGAGCAAACAUGCGUCCACCGCGACACAUGUUUCCGAAAGCACCUUGGCCUGCAC
Molecule: long non-coding RNA, 623 nt
Filed under: Gossypium barbadense (sea-island cotton)
Lineage: Eukaryota; Viridiplantae; Streptophyta; Magnoliopsida; Malvales; Malvaceae
Description: long non-coding RNA (GBAR_LNC015671)
Source: RNAcentral